This 490-nucleotide ribosomal RNA is filed under the name uncultured bacterium. RNAcentral describes it as "partial 16S ribosomal RNA". It matches the Rfam family "Bacterial small subunit ribosomal RNA", at positions 29 to 507 of the family's 1533-position model. The record is from RNAcentral.
AGUGAACGCUGGCGGCAGGCCUAACACAUGCAAGUCGAACGGCAGCACAAGAGAGCUUGCUCUCUGGGUGGCGAGUGGCGGACGGGUGAGGCAUGCAUCGGAAUCUGCCCAUUUGUGGGGGAUAACCUCGGGAAACCGGGACUAAUACCGCAUACGACCUACGGGUGAAAGCAGGGGAUCUUCGGACCUUGCGCAGAUGGAUGAGCCGAUGCCGGAUUAGCUAGUUGGAGGGGUAAAGGCCCACCAAGGCGACGAUCCGUAGCUGGUCUGAGAGGAUGAUCGGCCACACUGGGACUGAGACACGGCCCAGACUCCUACGGGAGGCAGCAGUGGGGAAUAUUGGACAAUGGGCGCAAGCCUGAUCCAGCCAUGCCGCGUGUGUGAAGAAGGCCUUCGGGUUGUAAAGCACUUUUGUUGGGAAAGAAAAGCAGCCGGUUAAUACCCGGUUGUCAUGACGGUACCCAAAGAAUAAGCACCGGCUAACUUCGUG